RNAcentral lists this ribosomal RNA (166 nucleotides) under Glomus sp. Its description in RNAcentral is "partial large subunit ribosomal RNA". It matches the Rfam family "Eukaryotic large subunit ribosomal RNA", at positions 99 to 261 of the family's 3401-position model. Lineage: Eukaryota; Fungi; Glomeromycota; Glomeromycetes; Glomerales; Glomeraceae. The record is from RNAcentral.
GGGGAAAAGCUCAAAUUUUAAAUCGGCGCAGGUUCACCUGGUCGAGUUGUAAUUUGAAGAAGCGUUUUCCGCGUCCGGGUUCGAUCCAAAUCCUUUGGGAUAAGGUAUCAUGGAGGGUGAGAAUCCCGUCCGGUUGACCUCGGAUGUUUUACGAUGCGUUUUCUAA